UAAGUUGGUAGUGAAAUCGUGGGGCUCAACCUCAUAAACAUUACCAAAACUGCGCUGGCUAGAGGAUGAGAGAGGUAGCUGGAAUUCCCUGUGUAGGAGUGAAAUCCGUAGAUAUAGGGAGGAACACCGAUGGCGUAGGCAGGCUACUGGCUCAUUCCUGACGCUCAGGCACGAAAGCGUGGGGAGCGACCGGGAUUAGAUACCCCGUUAGUCCACGCCGUAAACGAUGGAUGCUA
This 236-nucleotide ribosomal RNA is filed under the name uncultured Candidatus Saccharibacteria bacterium. Its description in RNAcentral is "partial 16S ribosomal RNA". It matches the Rfam family "Bacterial small subunit ribosomal RNA", at positions 584 to 818 of the family's 1533-position model. Lineage: Bacteria; Candidatus Saccharimonadota. The record is from RNAcentral.